GUAGGGAAUCUUCCACAAUGGGCGAAACGCCUGAUGGAGCAACGCCGCGUGUGUGAUGAAGGGUUUCGGCUCGUAAACACUGUUGUAAGAGAAGAAUGACAUUGAGAGUAACUGUUCAAUGUGUGACGGUAUCUUACCAGAAAGGAACGGCUAAAUACGUGCCAG
This 165-nucleotide ribosomal RNA is filed under the name uncultured bacterium. RNAcentral describes it as "partial 16S rRNA". It matches the Rfam family "Bacterial small subunit ribosomal RNA", at positions 354 to 511 of the family's 1533-position model. The record is from RNAcentral.